AGGAUGAACGCUGGCGGCGUGCUUAACACAUGCAAGUCGAACGGUGAAGCAGGAGCUUGCUCCUGUGGAUCAGUGGCGAACGGGUGAGUAACACGUGAGAAAUCUGCCCUGGACUCUGGGAUAAGCGUUGGAAACGACGUCUAAUACCGGAUACGAGCUUCAGCCGCAUGGCUAGGAGCUAGGAAAGACUUCGGUCCAGGAUGAUCUCGCGGCCUAUCAGCUAGUGUGAGGUACGGCCACGAAGGCGACGACGGGUAGCCGGCCUGGAGAGGGUCGACCGGGCCAACGUACGUGGGAACUGGAA
This 304-nucleotide ribosomal RNA is filed under the name uncultured soil bacterium. RNAcentral's name for it is "bacterial SSU rRNA". It matches the Rfam family "Bacterial small subunit ribosomal RNA", at positions 26 to 331 of the family's 1533-position model. The record is from RNAcentral.